This 243-nucleotide long non-coding RNA is filed under the name Helianthus annuus (common sunflower). RNAcentral describes it as "hypothetical non coding rna". Lineage: Eukaryota; Viridiplantae; Streptophyta; Magnoliopsida; Asterales; Asteraceae. The record is from RNAcentral.
UAUUUCAAAUGCUUUUUAUUGCAUAUUGUUGCUAUGCACAGUUAGAUAUCCAGCUAUUACAUUGUGAAUGAAGUUUAUCGGCCGUUGAGGGGGCUAUGAUGACUAAACGUGAUUUGCCAGCUCAUAUUCUUUUUGAGUUGAUUCUUACUUGAUCUAGAUCUUGGUGGGUCCUUAUGAACGGACUAAAGAUGGUUUUCAAGAUCCCAUGAGCAGGGCUGAUGGGCCCGAGUUUAUUACACAAUG